UUGAGAAAGAUAUGUAUGCAAAAGAUGUUUUGUAUGCAUGAAUGAAAAUUGAGUUUUGAACUAGUUUGACAAAUUAUUUCUUCAUUUAAAGUAUGUUUAUCUUUUGUUUUUUCAAUGGUUGAAAAAUAUAAAUCAAGAGUUGAAAAAGAUAUGCAUGUAAAAGGUGUUUUGGAUGCAUGAAUGAAGAGUACGUUUUGAACAAAAUUUGGGGUUUUGUUCCUUGUGGUAGGCACAGCAUUAAGGGGGUUUUUUGGGCAUGUGUUUGUGUUUUAUUGUAAGACACUCACACAUCAUUUUAAAGCUAGAAAGUAGAGCCCUUGUCACUUUAGUUUUUGGGUUUGAAAAAUCACCAAGAAUACACAAAUCUUGAAAAAGUGUUCAUGGUUUUGUUCUUGGUGUUCAUGGUUUGUUUGUGGGUGAAAAUGGUUUUAUUUGGUUUUAAUAAAUUGUUUUAUGGUUUUGGAUGAUAUACUUAUCAUCCAUAGCCUUCCCAAAAUUUUUUAAAUCCUACACUUGACUAGGAAAUUUCCAUCACCCUUUUCACCUAAGUUUUAAUGACAAAACCAAGUAACAAGCAAAUUUGGAUUUUUCUACCUUGUAUUGAAUUAAAGCAAGAUGGGUGAGACUUCCCAUCUCCCCUUAAUGUGGCCGGCCACCCUAGUGGAUUUAUCCACUUGUGGGGAUUUUUGUAAUUUGGAAAAAGAUAUUUUAUACUUUUAAGUAUUUACGGUUUGACCCCUAAAUUUUUUAUAUUUGCAUUUAGGCCCCUACUAACUAGAAAGUUAAAAUAUUUGAUUUUAAUUUUGUUAGUUGUUUAAACUCAUAAUACUAUUAUGCCCAUAUGCACUAAAUCUAAUUGUUUAUGUUGCAUUCCAUUUGAUUAUUUAAUGUGAUUAAGUAGUUAGAAAAAUGGGUGACUAUGGACUUAUGCCUUAAACGAUAAUUGAGCUUUGAGAUAAGGCGCUAAAAUCAAAUUGUUUGAACCUUGGGAAUGUGUUUUAAUUACUGUUUUAAUUGGACCUUGUCACGUUUGACAUUAAUCUAUCUCUCCCUCUUAGUAUGUGUAAUUUGUAGGAAUUUGUACAAAUCGGUUUGUAAUUCUUAUUAUUUCUUAAACUCUUUUAGUUAGUUGAUUCCCUCUAGUGCUAGACUAGAGUUUCUUUAACUAUUGGUAAGGAGCAUGGAAGAAAAUAUCGAUAAUAUCGGCGAAAUAUCGCCGAUAUUAUCGGUUUUUCAGGUAAUGGAUAUUUAAAUAGGUAUCCAAAUGGUUUUCGGAAAAAUAUCGCGAUAUUUCCAAAAAUAUCGCGAUAUUUUAGAAAUAUCGCGAUAUUUUUUUAACCGUGCUACUCGGAGAAGAACGCCGGAGCUUCUA
This 1372-nucleotide long non-coding RNA is filed under the name Malus domestica (apple). Its description in RNAcentral is "long non-coding RNA (MDOM_LNC005753)". The record is from RNAcentral. Lineage: Eukaryota; Viridiplantae; Streptophyta; Magnoliopsida; Rosales; Rosaceae.